Molecule: RNA transcript, 2966 nt
Organism: Bolinopsis microptera
Lineage: Eukaryota; Metazoa; Ctenophora; Tentaculata; Lobata; Bolinopsidae
Gene name: lambda-crystallin-like
Exons: 5
Source: RefSeq, a predicted model, not a curated record
UACUAUAUAACAAAUAAUUUGAGCUCUAUGUCGGGGGAACUACCUCCUUGUUUAGAGGACCAAUUAGAGACUUGUGAUAUAUCAGAUGUUGAGAAGUAUUUCGAGUUAGACUCGUGUAAGAAAUGGUGCGAGGAAAACAACUUCAAGAAUGUGGCUCUGCAGUUCCCGGACCAUCUUCUAGCUCAUAGCACCAAGGUGUACAACGCCCUGACAACAACCACAACUCAACUUCACAUACUAGCAGACACCAACUACGGUUCGUGCUGUGUGGACGAAGUGGCGGCACAACGACUCAGCACUCAGGCCAUCAUACACUUUGGUCACUCGUGUAACUCUCGUGUCCUCUCUCUCCCCACCCUGUUUAUAUUUGGCAAGGAGCCAGUAGAAGUAGACAGCCUGGUCGAGUGUUAUAAACAGACGUACACUGCGCAGGACAAUGUCUUGGUUGUUUUUGACCCGGUAUAUUAUCAUGCCAGUAGUCGGUUUAACCAGGACUUGCUGAGGUGUUAUCCUAAUAUUUGUGUCAGGAAGUAUUGUCGAGAACAAAAUACUUCUAAUUCUGGCGAUGAUUCCACCGAGGAUAUGUCAGGUGAUGGCGAAUAUUCAGUAUUUUAUGUGGGAACAGAAUCUUUGGCGCUAACUAAUUGUAUACUCAAUAAUGGAUCAAGGAAAGUGUGGUCCUAUGAUCCGACAAGUAAGGAAUGCCGGUUGGAAUCGAGGAGUGUCAACAAAAUGCUGAUCAAACGAUUCAGCAAUAUUGAGAAAAUUAAGAGUUGUAAGAUCAUUGGAAUUUUGAUCGGAACUCUUGGAAUUAAAAGCUUCCGGGAAGUUAUUGAUCGUAUGAAGCAAGUCAUAAAGGCGGCCGAUAAGAAGUUUUACAUUGUCAGCAUUGGAAAACCCAACCCUCCAAAACUUGCCAACUUUGCCGAGAUAGGCGCCUUUGUGAUGGUGGGAUGCCCUGAAAAUUCUUUGCUUGAUUGUAAGGAAUUCUAUCAGCCGAUAGUAACUCCCUACGAACUUGAGAUAGCUUGUGUUGAUAGACCGUGGGAAAUAGACUACAUCAGCGAUUGUUCCACCCUACUGGAUAGCAACUACAUCGAUAUACCAUCCCCAGAUACUAACCCGGAUAAUAUAAACGACAAAGCCAUAGAAAAGUUCAGGUCUUUGGACAUUGCUGUUAACUAUCUAAACGAUCGAACGUGGUCGGGGCUUCAACAAAGGCUCGGUGAAGAUGAGCCUGCAGUUUUAAAACAAGGCCAGUUUGGUAUUGCUGGGUUUUACGAAGAUGAACCGGAGGGCGACACAAGAUUAAAGAAUUGAAGUUAAAUCAACAAACCGCUCGAAGCAAAAUUGGUGCUCACGCGCGAACGCCGAACUGGAUCUCGCUGAAAAAAGUCUCCUUUUCAGAGUUUUCUAUAGACUUUAUCGAAAGCCGCGCACCUGCGCCCGCAGAGCAAUUGCCGUAGUUUCAUUGAAAAUUGGAUCCAAUUGGCCUAUUGACUAUUCAAAUAGCGAAUGAUUAAUGCAUAAUGCAUCUGGUCACAAAUUUUAUGCAUCGCCAUGCGUACUGAUCAACACAUUCGCUAUCUAUGUGUGCAAUUAGCUGAAUACUAUACCGAUAUACUCCUUAGUGACACACGUACGAGUGAGUGUGCAAUUUUAUUAUGAUAUGUAACCCCAAUUUCGUGAUAGGAUGACCACUAAAUUUAACGAUGGAUGACGGAAAUAAAGGAGGAAGUAAUCUCAAGUCCAUAUUCUACAGAGUAGACAGCGACAGGAAUGGUCUUAUCGAUAUAAAGGAACUUUACAAUGCUUUAAAGCAAUCUAAUGAGAACGACUUCAACCCCGAAACUUGCCAACUCCUCAUGGGGCUAUUUGACGUUAACGAGGACGGAUAUAUUGAUAUGGGUGAGUUUGGGGGGAUGGUGAAGUACAUCAGGAGCUGGAAGAGUACGUUUGGACUGAAUGUUGCGAACAGCACCGUUCCUGGCAUCAACUCAACACAACUAUACGACACCUUGAAGGCAUGUGGCUGUGGAGUUGACGAAACAAUGUGCAAAGUUCUUAUCAAAAACUUUGACUCCCGCAACAUGCAAGCGCUCGGAUUUGACGACUACAUGCGAUGUUGUGUCACUGUUCAGUCCAUGUACAAAGCGUUCACUCACCAGCAGUCGCCUGACGGGACGUUGAGGUUAGAUUUAGAGGGCUUAGUUACUAUGGUAGUCGAGUCUAGGGCGAGACCGGUACAAAAUCUAGCCUUUGAUUAGCUCUGAACUUACUAAACUGUAGAUCUCGUUUAAUAAUUGUUUAAUUAGGAUUAUUAGAGCUACUUUACGACUGGUGUAUCUUUAAUUUAUCCUGUUAAAUGUUGACAAUAAAUCCUUUUCAACGAAUGCUUCACAGUUUUACAAGCUAGCAGCCAACUCGGCUUGUUGAGCCGAGUCUUAUUUUUCAGAAAAAUGUAAUCUUUAAACUUCAAAUAUAUACUAUCGCCUUUGACAACCUAUGCCGACGAGUUUUAAGAUAAUGAAGCACACUAACUUUACUGUUUUCCUCCGUGAAUUCUUAUAAACUGUUCUGCAAACAAUUGUAUUGAACAAUGUUUUACUAUCCUCAAGCAGUAAUUACCAGUGAUAUAUAUUAGAGUGCAUUGCAUGAUACCGGAUUUAAUAAGCCUACCUUUAGCCACAGUUAACUCUGAAAUUGUAUUUAGUGUGUCGUUUAUCAAAUUUGUUCUAGACACCAAUUAAACAUUUGACUAGUUAUUUUACUUUUUAUUAGUAUUUUCCUUUUUUUUAUUUGUUACUAUAAGUUUCUAUUUUGGGUACAUUUUAGAUUGAAUUCAUUUGUCUUUAAAGGGGUUUCAGAUUUAUUUUUUGUGAACAUAAAAAAAUAUAAAUAUAUAACAUGUGAAUACUAGAUUGUUAAAUUGUAUUAUAUCUUUAGUUUUGUUCGUUAGCUUAGAC